Molecule: ribosomal RNA, 686 nt
Filed under: Enterococcus casseliflavus
Lineage: Bacteria; Bacillati; Bacillota; Bacilli; Lactobacillales; Enterococcaceae
Description: bacterial SSU rRNA
Rfam family: Bacterial small subunit ribosomal RNA
Source: RNAcentral
CGAAAGAAAAAGAGUGGCGAACGGGUGAGUAACACGUGGGUAACCUGCCCAUCAGAAGGGGAUAACACUUGGAAACAGGUGCUAAUACCGUAUAACACUAUUUUCCGCAUGGAAGAAAGUUGAAAGGCGCUUUUGCGUCACUGAUGGAUGGACCCGCGGUGCAUUAGCUAGUUGGUGAGGUAACGGCUCACCAAGGCAACGAUGCAUAGCCGACCUGAGAGGGUGAUCGGCCACACUGGGACUGAGACACGGCCCAGACUCCUACGGGAGGCAGCAGUAGGGAAUCUUCGGCAAUGGACGAAAGUCUGACCGAGCAACGCCGCGUGAGUGAAGAAGGUUUUCGGAUCGUAAAACUCUGUUGUUAGAGAAGAACAAGGAUGAGAGUAGAACGUUCAUCCCUUGACGGUAUCUAACCAGAAAGCCACGGCUAACUACGUGCCAGCAGCCGCGGUAAUACGUAGGUGGCAAGCGUUGUCCGGAUUUAUUGGGCGUAAAGCGAGCGCAGGCGGUUUCUUAAGUCUGAUGUGAAAGCCCCCGGCUCAACCGGGGAGGGUCAUUGGAAACUGGGAGACUUGAGUGCAGAAGAGGAGAGUGGAAUUCCAUGUGUAGCGGUGAAAUGCGUAGAUAUAUGGAGGAACACCAGUGGCGAAGGCGGCUCUCUGGUCUGUAACUGACGCUGAGGCUCG